UGGAAUGAUGAGUGCACUGACU
This 22-nucleotide microRNA is filed under the name Gallus gallus (chicken). Its description in RNAcentral is "gga-miR-1709". Lineage: Eukaryota; Metazoa; Chordata; Aves; Galliformes; Phasianidae. The record is from miRBase by way of RNAcentral.